Long non-coding RNA from Chiloscyllium plagiosum (whitespotted bambooshark), 1443 nucleotides. RefSeq lists it as uncharacterized. The record is from RefSeq and is a predicted model, not a curated record. NCBI's taxonomy places the organism in Eukaryota, Metazoa, Chordata, Chondrichthyes, Orectolobiformes, Hemiscylliidae.
GAGAGAGAGAGAGAGAAACAGGCGCUGAGGAAUAGCGAACCACCGCCCCCAAGAAGUUGGAUUAGAAAGUGAUUGAGAGAGGUCGACUUUCCAUUAUUGCCGUUAGAAUGCCGGCGCGGCUUAUCCCUCUCCAGGGUGGCGUGCGAAUUUUGAUCGGGCUUGACAGCGUUAUCCCAAACUGACCUCCCUCUCCCCGAGGCGCUGCACACAGCGACCUUGAGCCCAGAAAAAGUGAGCGAUGGCCCCAGUGCGGAGCUCCGCCAGGGGGAGUCGCCGAGAGCCUCCACAUGACCGUAGACGCCAAGCAGCAGCAGCAGCAGUUUAGGAGCAGCCAGCACUGAACAAAGCCGAUUCUAGCCGCAUUCUCCAAACGUGCUCCCAACAAGCGAUUCUCCCUCCCGGGAAUGCAAAGGUGGCAAAGACUGAUACAGAGACAAGUUUGUGGGAGAUCAGUGGUUUGUGCAGUGGUCCACAUGGAAUUCUGUUGCAUUUAGGAUUAUAGACUUGUCAAUGUCUCAACUGAACUCUGAUGUCCAGAGAUACUUGUUACUAAACAACAGAGGCAGUCAACUGUGCAGGUUCGCUGGUGCAUCAGACAGCUGUGCAGGUUUAGUUCUCUGGUUUUCACCUCCCAUGUGGUACAUGCUGUGUCUCUCUCCCUUUUUUUAAAAGUGCUGUUGCUUUGAUUUUUCUUUUCUGAAGUUCCAAAACAAUGCAAUAGCUUAUAAAAUAGUGAUAACUGCUCCAAAGAUUUAAGGAAAUCAACUCCAACACUGACAAAUCUCAAAAAAAGGAGCAGCUCUAACAGUCAUAACGUUUGCCCAUCCUCCCUCUUGGAUUUAGUUUGCCAUUCAAAACCAGGUUCUGCAACCUCCAAAUAUGGAAAGUAGUGAUCUAAUUGGAUCUUGCUGUCCCUACCCAAUGCUAGUAUUGGAUACAGGCCACAGAGUCUUUGAGAAAGGCGUGAAAAGAGGGAAGAAAGAGAAAAUCUGGAACCCCAGCUCUCACUGCUCUCUGCACCUUCUUCACCAGCACCUCCAGAGAGCACCUGCGACUGGCAGCGACUUGUACCUUGUGGUGAGCAUCAUCAGACCGACCUGACCCAGAAAAACCACCUCAGUGUGCCAACCCAAAGACCAGAGCCAGCCCGAGAUGAGAAGGGAAGCCCAAAUCGAUGACUCCAGAUCCUGAAACAUCAGCCGACCCUCAAAGACCAAGGAAUAGUCUGUCCCAGCAUUACUGAAGGGUAUUACCAGUCGUUUCAGACAAACAGUUCAGGUACAGUGGUGGGGACAUGUGGAUAGGGUGUAGCAAAUCCUUGGAAGGGCAUGUCAGAAAUACAUAACUAGUGUAGAUUUGAGAUUAUUUAGAGAUUUAAAACUGUUUAAUGAAGAAUCCUGUGAAGGGACUUAAAUUAGAAUUAAAUUAGUGUACAAUAGUAGU